RNAcentral lists this ribosomal RNA (506 nucleotides) under uncultured bacterium. RNAcentral describes it as "partial 16S ribosomal RNA". It matches the Rfam family "Bacterial small subunit ribosomal RNA", at positions 29 to 523 of the family's 1533-position model. The record is from RNAcentral.
AGUGAACGCUGGCGGUAGGCCUAACACAUGCAAGUCGAACGGCAGCACAGGAGAGCUUGCUCUCUGGGUGGCGAGUGGCGGACGGGUGAGGAAUACAUCGGAAUCUACUUUUUCGUGGGGGAUAACGUAGGGAAACUUACGCUAAUACCGCAUACGACCUACGGGUGAAAGCAGGGGAUCUUCGGACCUUGCGCGAUUCAAUGAGCCGAUGUCGGAUUAGCUAGGUGGCGGGGUAAAGGCCCACCAAGGCGACGAUCCGUAGCUGGUCUGAGAGGAUGAUCAGCCACACUGGAACUGAGACACGGUCCAGACUCCUACGGGAGGCAGCAGUGGGGAAUAUUGGACAAUGGGCGCAAGCCUGAUCCAGCCAUACCGCGUGGGUGAAGAAGGCCUUCGGGUUGUAAAGCCCUUUUGUUGGGAAAGAAAUCCAGCUGGUUAAUACCCGGUUGGGAUGACGGUACCCAAAGAACAAGCACCGGCUAACUUCGUGCCAGCAGCCGCAGUAA